RNAcentral lists this long non-coding RNA (243 nucleotides) under Panax ginseng (ginseng). RNAcentral's name for it is "long non-coding RNA (PGIN_LNC002961)". Lineage: Eukaryota; Viridiplantae; Streptophyta; Magnoliopsida; Apiales; Araliaceae. The record is from RNAcentral.
CAGUGUCACCUAAAACCAAACCAACUGAGAUGUCAAUUCCUAGAUUGUCAAAACCCACGUUAACCUCCACUCCCAAAUUGUCUAACCCGACAUCAACCUCCACUCCCAGAUUGUCAAGGCCAACAUCAACCUCCACUCCCAGAUUGUCGAAACCGAUAUCAACUGCUACAGUGAUGUAUGCGUCUCGAUCCUCAACAAAUAAGCCGAAUGUUUCAUCAUUACCAAGAAGCAAAAAUUCUUCUU